Molecule: long non-coding RNA, 1151 nt
Organism: Labeo rohita (rohu)
Lineage: Eukaryota; Metazoa; Chordata; Actinopteri; Cypriniformes; Cyprinidae
Exons: 2
Source: RefSeq, a predicted model, not a curated record
UAGGUGGAGAAAAGGUUCUUCUGCAUUUUGUCCAAAAAACGCCCGCAGACAACGUGCCGCUUGAGGAGAUCACCAAAGCUCUCGGGAUCUCCGCGAACGUCCAGGCUGGUGAAAAGCCACAGUGCAAUGAAGAUGUAUGCACACGAUAGAGGAUUCAGAGUUCUUCAAGAUUGAAUGGACUCUGCUUUCUGGUUAUCCAGUGAAUUAUUCACACUAAUCUGACCUCAAAUCAUCUUUACAUUUAUGUGAUGCUUACUAUAUAUAUAUAUAAUGCCCUGAUCAUAUGACUAGGAAAUAAGAACAUUUUUGCAUUUUAUAUGCAUUGUUGAUUACUAUUGUUGCUUUUAUGCUAAUUUUUUUAUUUGAAUUAGUAAAUCAACCAUUAAAAAAAUACAAGCUUUGCACGAGAGCUAAAAGAUACUCCUUUAAUGAGAUUGUUUUAUAAACUUAUAUUUAUGAUUUUUCACACGUCUGACCAAAUGUGACUUGUUAACUGAAGAAUGUGAAUGACAUUGUAUAUAUUAAAACUUUUACCAAAGUGUAUUUGUGUGUUUAAUGUAUAAACAUGAAUGUUUAAAAAAAACAAACAAAACAGAUGCAUAAUAUUGUUGCUUUAUAUAAGUUUAUUUUCGAAGCUUACAUAUUUUCUCUUAUAUAUCAUAAUAUUUCAAUGUUUAAAAUAGCUAAAUAAUAUCUGAAGCCAUAUAUUUUUGCUUGAACAAUCAGUAUUGGCAGAACAAUAUGAUUACAAAGCAUUCACUUGGAAAGUCGUUAAAACAUAUAUGGUCUCAAUCAAACAUGGACCCCAUAUAAUAUCAAGAGCAUUUCUGUCAGUAUGAACCUUUAGAGACCUUUCAACAGUCAACAAGUCUAUGUACAGAAUAAGACCAGCCCCAGACAUAUUCAUUUAGCAGCAUCUGUGGUCAUGUGGUAUUUCAUAACAUGAGGGAGAAUCUCAAAACCUGCAAAGAACAUGUCCAGGUCAUAUUUCAACUAUUAAUCAACCAUAAAUCUUUCUGGCAUAUUAAGUGCAUGUGCCAACUUUGUUUGAUUUUGUGGCGAAAUGUAACCUUGACAUGUUUUCAUGAGGUACAUCUGUGAACUGAAAUAUAAAUGUAAAAAAUAACAUUAAAACUGAAUUGUGAAUCAUU